CAAGUUAUCUUUAAGUAAGUGUUGUUAUUUACAAUAAUAAUAUAAAUUGUGCAAUUCAAUUUAACUUGA
RNAcentral lists this transfer RNA (69 nucleotides) under Ectatops sp. RNAcentral describes it as "tRNA-Val". The record is from RNAcentral. Lineage: Eukaryota; Metazoa; Arthropoda; Insecta; Hemiptera; Pyrrhocoridae.